RNAcentral lists this ribosomal RNA (244 nucleotides) under uncultured bacterium. Its description in RNAcentral is "partial small subunit ribosomal RNA". It matches the Rfam family "Bacterial small subunit ribosomal RNA", at positions 26 to 286 of the family's 1533-position model. The record is from RNAcentral.
AGAAUCAACGCUGGCGGCGUGCCUAACACAUGCAAGUCGAACGAGAAAGUGGAGCAAUCCAUGAGUAAAGUGGCGCACGGGUGAGUAACACGUGACUAACCUACCCUUGAGUGGGGGAUAACCUAGGGAACCUGGGCUAAUACCGCAUAAUACCUUCGGGUCAAAGGAGCAAUUCGCUUUAGGAGGGGUCGCGGCCGAUUAGUUAGUUGGCGGGGUAAUGGCCCACCAAGGCUGUGAUCGGUAU